ACACCUGAGGGGGGAAAAACAUUUCAGAUGCUUCAUUCUGCCUGCUCCAACCCCUCCUCCAUUUUGAUUUUUAUGUUUUCAGUGUUUUGUUGGGGAACAUGUGCAUGUGUGGAGGAGAUCAGAAGACCACUUAGGAGAGUCGGUUUUCCUUCUGCUCUGUGGCAUCAAGCCCAGGGUUCUCUUGGCCCCAGCCCCACAGUUCCUGGUUGGUGCCCCUCCCAGUGCGGUUAUUUCAAAUAAUGCUUACCCUUGGAGGUAAUGUUAAUUGGAACAAGAUGCAGAACGGACUGCUUCUCUAAGGAAAGGAGGAGGAAACAGCAGUGUUGACCUGCCCCCGGAGUCCACCCUCCACCCUCACCUCAGCUCUGGUCGUCAUUCCUCAUGCUCCUGGCUCACCUCCAACCCUGCAGAAACCCCAGGGCUCACUCACUCUUGUGCUUCUGGGUGAGUACUGCUCUCCUUCUCCGAGAUUUGGCCCCAUCCUUCCAGGCUCCCAGGACAUCAGGACUCUGCUCAUGAAAGAGGGCCAGAGUUUGACUAAGAUGUUAAGGAUCUUACACAACCUUCCCAGCCCUUCUCAACGCCUGAAUGGCUGAAAUGUAGGAACCUGUCAUAGGCCCCUGGUCUGGGCACUGACUGCCUUUCAGGUGCUCUUGGCAUUAAUCUUUAACUGUUUAUUUUCCUGGAACGGCUGGCUGUUCCCUUGACUUCCCAAUCCAGGGCCACCUCUAGCACUCACUUGAAAGUUUGCAGGUUGAGAGGCUCUGAGAGCCUCUGCCAUUCACCCUUUACCCCUAGAUUCCCAUCUCCCUUAACUCACCUGUUCCCAGAGGCUCUGCCAUGGAGGCUCUCCCCGCUUCUGGGAAGCUCCUCCACUCCGCUGCAGCCGGCUCACCUCCCGCCUUAGGCUCUGCAACUCUGCUUGUUGGAUCAGUAGUGCGACAGCACAAGUCACAGCCCCCAGAACUGCCCCCCAACUCAACCAAAGAGUGACCGAAAGGGCUGGCUCUCUGACUGAGCCUCCCAUGUUGCCUGGAGAUGAGGCUGGCAUGAGCUAGGGACCCUGCUGACAGCUGUGGGCUGCAAGUGAGGUGGCCAGGAGGUAGCAGGGAGGGUGGGAAUACAGGCAAAGGCGCAGAAGGGAAGAGCGAGUUACGCAAGGGAGAAAUAAAAAGGAACUUGAGAAUAGGAAGAAAUCAAGCUAGGGUCCUAUUAGUCCCCUGAUCCCCAGCUAGUGUCCCUCUGACACCCCUGGCCCCCUCCCCCCCAAGCCUCAGGAGAAUUUGGUGCCAAUUAUCUAGGAAGGGCAGGGCAGCCGUGACACCCAGAAGGAGCGGUCAGCGUUCAGGAGCCCAGGGGCGGCCCCUAAGUUGGAGGAGGGAAGGUCGGUUGGUUAUGGGGCAUGGUGCCAGGGGCAGGGAAUGGGGACAAGCUCAGCAGCAUGAGCCUUAGAAGGUGAGUGUGGUGGACUCUCUCUCUGCCUGAGGCACAAAUGACAGCUUUGAGGAGGCUUGUUAGGGGUGACUGGAAAUGAAAAAAAAAGGGGGGCUAGGGGCCAGCAGGGAGGAGAACCAAGGACAAGAAACUGGCAGGGUGCUGGGGUUAAGGCUGGGCCGGGUGUGUUGGAACCAGGCCUGCACUACUCCCUGUGCUGAACUUGGCAAGCCGGACUUCCUGUUUCCCAAGAAGAGUUCUUACAUAAGGUUCUCUGGACAAAGAGAAAAGAAAAAAGCCCCAAGCCCCUCAGUCAGCGCAGCACUCCUCCCCACACCCAUACGGCUGGCCCACCAGAGCCCUUCCUAUGGCUCUGAGCCCCUUCCCGGGCUAGCUCCAUUCCAUCUCCUAGCCAGGCCCGUGCCAGCACCUGCUCAACUGCUGAAUGUCCUGAGGCCGCCAAGAGGAAGGACCCUGCUCCUCCCAGCCAGGGAUUCCCCUGCAGGAGGAAGUCCGCUGCUAGGAAAAUGAGGCUGCUUCUGCAGCGCCUUGUGCAGAGGACCAGGUGGUUUUGUUGUUGUUUGCAUGGUUUUUUUUUUUCUGGUAUCUUUGUGAUUUCUAUUCAAAACUGCAGCUUGGAGGCUUGCAGGUCCCCAUUCCCCAAAGCCUAAGAUUCCCUUCCCACAACCUUCAGUUACACUGAACCCCAAAGAAGAGAAAUCAUGAUUUAUUCUCUUUAAUAUCCAUUUAACAUUUUGUCACAAUAAUAAUAAAAAUAGUAUCUUUUCAAAAUCCACAGGGAUCCAGGGAGGAGCUUGUCUCCAUCUCUUUCCCCUCACAUUUGGGAACUUCUGGCCUAGUCCCAGGUUCUUUGGCUUCCUGCCACCAGGUCCAGCCUAUCUUGAUGCCUGAUGCACAUAGUCAGUAAAAACAGGGUCCCAGGGUUGGGGCGGGGUAGUCGGGUACGUGGGGGCUUUGGGAGCUCGUGAGGCGGGCAGCUGUGGUGGGGUGGGAGGUUACAGAAGAACGGGAAUAUGUCUGUGGAAUGGAAAACAUGUCAUCAAGCCCUGGCUGCCUUGGAAGAGAGGACAGGACUGGAGCAAGGAACAGCUAGAGGGUGGAGGAGUGGGCGUGGGGUGGGGAGGUGCUGUGGUGCUCUGGGAGCUGUUAGGUUAAAGUUUAAAGAACCUGGGAGAGCAGGAC
Molecule: non-coding RNA, 2637 nt
Organism: Rattus norvegicus (Norway rat)
Lineage: Eukaryota; Metazoa; Chordata; Mammalia; Rodentia; Muridae
Source: RefSeq, a predicted model, not a curated record